This is a long non-coding RNA of Saccostrea cuccullata (small rock oyster), 112 nucleotides long. RefSeq lists it as uncharacterized. The transcript has 3 exons. The record is from RefSeq and is a predicted model, not a curated record. NCBI's taxonomy places the organism in Eukaryota, Metazoa, Mollusca, Bivalvia, Ostreida, Ostreidae.
UAACAGAGAUCAUAAAAGCAGAAAAAGACAGCAAGGUUCUGGAGGGAUUUGCAGUUCUCCUUGUAACUGAGCUGUCUGAUUCAAAGAAUCAGUUUUAUGGUGAAGCACAGAC